UUAUCUGUGCUUUGUAUUGGACUUGCUAGAUCAGCAACAACAGCAUGAACCAAUCAAUGAUUCACUUCUUUAGAGAACCUUGGAUAGCUGAUCGGUGGUUUCAUGUACAUCAAGCACAUUGAUGACACCAAUGAUAAACAGGUUUAUCGUGUAUCUUCACGUAGUUGCUGUCCGCUGUGGUACUUUGUUGCAGCCUAUGCUGGUGAUAGAUCUUUCUGCAUCAAAUUCAAUUGGCCGUGCUGUUGUCGUGUUACCGUUAAAUGUUAAGAAGG
Molecule: long non-coding RNA, 272 nt
Organism: Daphnia pulex (common water flea)
Lineage: Eukaryota; Metazoa; Arthropoda; Branchiopoda; Diplostraca; Daphniidae
Exons: 3
Source: RefSeq, a predicted model, not a curated record